UACGUAGGGUGCGAGCGUUAAUCGGAAUUACUGGGCGUAAAGCGUGCGCAGGCGGUCUGUUAAGACAGGUGUGAAAUCCCCGGGCUUAACCUGGGAACUGCAUUUGUGACUGGCAGGCUAGAGUAUGGCAGAGGGGGGUAGAAUUCCACGUGUAGCAGUGAAAUGCGUAGAGAUGUGGAGGAAUACCGAUGGCGAAGGCAGCCCCCUGGGCCAAUACUGACGCUCAUGCACGAAAGCGUGGGGAGCAAACAGG
This 253-nucleotide ribosomal RNA is filed under the name uncultured bacterium. RNAcentral's name for it is "partial 16S ribosomal RNA". It matches the Rfam family "Bacterial small subunit ribosomal RNA", at positions 524 to 776 of the family's 1533-position model. The record is from RNAcentral.